Salmo salar (Atlantic salmon) is the source of this 54-nucleotide non-coding RNA. The record is from Rfam. NCBI's taxonomy places the organism in Eukaryota, Metazoa, Chordata, Actinopteri, Salmoniformes, Salmonidae.
AAAUGAACUAAUUGUAAGUCGCUCUGGAUAAGAGUAUCUGCUAAAUGACUAAAA